AAUUUAUACAAUGGAGAGUUUGAUCCUGGCUCAGGAUGAACGCUAGCGGCAGGCCUAAUACAUGCAAGUCGAACGGGCGG
This 80-nucleotide ribosomal RNA is filed under the name Hymenobacter sp. BT491. Its description in RNAcentral is "partial 16S ribosomal RNA". It matches the Rfam family "Bacterial small subunit ribosomal RNA", at positions 1 to 73 of the family's 1533-position model. The record is from RNAcentral. Lineage: Bacteria; Pseudomonadati; Bacteroidota; Cytophagia; Cytophagales; Hymenobacteraceae.